CCCUAACCCUUCAAAUGCUUAUUUCUCUUCCGCGACAGCCCGAUCGCAUUGGUCUUCUUUUCCUUCUUCUUCGAUUCGCAUUGGUCGGUGGGAGUUCGGUUGGGGCGAUGGCGGCGACCGCCGACGUGAAGACGAUCGCCGCGUCGAGAAAGAGGGCACUCACCGGGCGAGUGACGAUAGCGGAGGCGGGAUCUUGGUGGAGCUGAACUCGGAGGUCGCCCUUCCAGUCCAAUGGGAGCAGUGCCUCGAUUUGCUGACAACCGGGAGAACGGCGAACUGACUACCGCAGAUCCUCGCAGCACCGCUGGCGUCUUCAUUUCAAGUAACCAUUACCAUGACGACGAUGGCUAGAUUUAAAGAGAAAGUAACGAAGGAUGAAAAGAGCCCAUGAAACACGACUAGAGAAGGUAUUUUACUUGGUCACUCGUUAUAUUGUCAUAUGUAAACUAGAUAUUCAGGUGGCGACUUUGCCCAAAAUAUAAGAUAUUCACUUGCUUGUGCUUCUUUUUAAUUGUAGCAAAUUAACUUAAUUGAAAAUGAUUUUGUGUUUUUUGUU
Molecule: long non-coding RNA, 556 nt
Organism: Zingiber officinale
Lineage: Eukaryota; Viridiplantae; Streptophyta; Magnoliopsida; Zingiberales; Zingiberaceae
Exons: 3
Source: RefSeq, a predicted model, not a curated record